This is a long non-coding RNA of Lingula anatina, 143 nucleotides long. The record is from RefSeq and is a predicted model, not a curated record. Lineage: Eukaryota; Metazoa; Brachiopoda; Lingulata; Lingulida; Lingulidae.
UAAGCAUGGAGGAAUGUAUUGAAGCAUGUGCAAAGAUUUUGAAAGAGUUUGACCCCAAGCUGGAGUAAAAAGCUACUCUCAAUCUUUAUGUUAAAUGUUGGCGUUGGUUAAAGGAUGAAACAUGUGAAAGACAUUUCAUUUUG